This is a regulatory RNA element of Rhodoferax sp., 104 nucleotides long. It matches the Rfam family "traJ-II RNA". Lineage: Bacteria; Pseudomonadati; Pseudomonadota; Betaproteobacteria; Burkholderiales; Comamonadaceae. The record is from Rfam.
GGGCAGGAUGUGUGAAGUUAGCUAACCGGCGAGCCGGUUAUCUAUCUUCACUGUCCCUUAUUCGCGCCGGGGGCGCUCAACGGGUCAUCCUGCUCUGCGAGGCA